This 251-nucleotide ribosomal RNA is filed under the name uncultured prokaryote. Its description in RNAcentral is "partial 16S rRNA". It matches the Rfam family "Bacterial small subunit ribosomal RNA", at positions 525 to 775 of the family's 1533-position model. The record is from RNAcentral.
ACGGGGGGAACGAGCGUUGUUCGGAUUUACUGGGCGUAAAGGGAACGCAGGCGGGUAUGUAAGUCUGAUGUGAAAACCCGCAGCUUAACUCCGGGCCGGCAUUGGAUACUGGGAAACUUGAGUGCGGAAGAGGUUGGUGGAACUCUUUGGGUAGCGGUGAAAUGCGUAGAUACUGGGAGGAAGACCAGUGGCGAAGGCGGCUAUCUGGGAUGAAACUGACGCUGAGGUGCGAAAGCAAGGGGAGCAAACAG